RNAcentral lists this ribosomal RNA (632 nucleotides) under Ornithobacterium rhinotracheale. Its description in RNAcentral is "bacterial SSU rRNA". It matches the Rfam family "Bacterial small subunit ribosomal RNA", at positions 138 to 769 of the family's 1533-position model. The record is from RNAcentral. Lineage: Bacteria; Pseudomonadati; Bacteroidota; Flavobacteriia; Flavobacteriales; Weeksellaceae.
GGAGGAUAGCCCGGGGAAACUCGGAUUAAUACUCCAUAAGAUUUUGAUUGGCAUCGAUUAAAAUUGAAAGAUUUAUUGGAUAAGGAUAGGCAUGCGUCAGAUUAGUUAGUUGGUAGUGUAACGGACUACCAAGGCGAUGAUCUGUAGGGGGCCUGAGAGGGUGAACCCCCACACUGGUACUGAGACACGGACCAGACUCCUACGGGAGGCAGCAGUGAGGAAUAUUGGACAAUGGAGGGAACUCUGAUCCAGCCAUCCCGCGUGCAGGAAGACGGCCCUAUGGGUUGUAAACUGCUUUUGUAUGGGGAUAAAUCUACUUACGUGUAGGUAGUUGAAGGUAUCAUACGAAUAAGCAUCGGCUAACUCCGUGCCAGCAGCCGCGGUAAUACGGAGGAUGCAAGCGUUAUCCGGAUUCAUUGGGUUUAAAGGGUCCGUAGGCGGGCUGAUAAGUCAGUGGUGAAAUUUUGUCGCUCAACGAUAAAACUGCCAUUGAUACUGUUAGUCUUGAGUGAUAUUGAAGUAGCUGGAAUGUGUAGUGUAGCGGUGAAAUGCAUAGAUAUUACACAGAACACCGAUUGCGAAGGCAGGUUACUAAGUAUUAACUGACGCUGAAGGACGAAAGCGUGGGGAGC